GCUUGUCUCAAAGAUUAAGCCAUGCAUGUCUAAGUAUAAACGACUUUAUACUGUGAAACUGCGAAUGGCUCAUUAUAUCAGUUAUAGUUUAUUUGAUGGUCCUUGCUACUUGGAUAACCGUAGUAAUUCUAGAGCUAAUACAUGCAUCAAUCCCUGACUUCUGGAAAGGGUGUAUUUAUUAGAUGGAAACCAAUUCGGGCAACCGGUUUUUGGUGACUCAUAAUAACUUUCGGAUCGACAGCAAUGUCGAUGCAUCAUUCAAGUUUCUGCCCUAUCAGCUGUGGAUGGUAGGGUAUUGGCCUACCAUGGCUUUAACGGGUAACGGAGAAUUAGGGUUCGAUUCCGGAGAGGGAGCCUGAGAAAUGGCUACCACAUCCAAGGAAGGCAGCAGG
This 392-nucleotide ribosomal RNA is filed under the name uncultured Chrysophyceae. Its description in RNAcentral is "partial small subunit ribosomal RNA". It matches the Rfam family "Eukaryotic small subunit ribosomal RNA", at positions 30 to 432 of the family's 1831-position model. The record is from RNAcentral. Lineage: Eukaryota; Chrysophyceae.